Molecule: non-coding RNA, 207 nt
Organism: Pelobates cultripes (western spadefoot toad)
Lineage: Eukaryota; Metazoa; Chordata; Amphibia; Anura; Pelobatidae
Source: the annotation of a GenBank genome assembly
GUUACAUCCCACAGAUUGCCUCCCCUCUGCUUUGGGGAUAAUUGGUAUCUACUCAAUUAUCUCCAAACUAAAACUUAUACUUUUUUAUGCAUUGUUAUAACUUUAUGAUUUUUCAUCCUACAGGAAUAAAACUUAUAUUUUUUUGAACAACACAACUUGGGGACAAACAGAUUCAAAAUUCGGUCUAUUUCUGCCUUGAAAAAUAAC